GACGAACGCUGGCGGCGUGCUUAACACAUGCAAGUCGAGCGGUAAGGCCCUUUCGGGGCUACACGAGCGGCGAACGGGUGAGUAACACGUGGGUGACCUGCCCUCAGCUCUGGGAUAAGCCUGGGAAACCGGGUCUAAUACCGGAUAUGACUCCAUGACGCAUGUUGUGGGGUGGAAAGCCUUGUGCGGCUGAGGAUGGGCCCGCGGCCUAUCAGCUUGUUGGUGGGGUGANGGCCUACCAAGGCGACGACGGGUAGCCGGCCUGAGAGGGCGACCGGCCACACUGGGACUGAGACACGGCCCAGACUCCUACGGGAGGCAGCAGUGGGGAAUCUUGCGCAAUGGGCGAAAGCCUGACGCAGCGACGCCGCGUGAGGGA
This 379-nucleotide ribosomal RNA is filed under the name uncultured bacterium. RNAcentral describes it as "bacterial SSU rRNA". It matches the Rfam family "Bacterial small subunit ribosomal RNA", at positions 28 to 408 of the family's 1533-position model. The record is from RNAcentral.